This is a non-coding RNA of Phalacrocorax carbo (great cormorant), 1002 nucleotides long. NCBI's taxonomy places the organism in Eukaryota, Metazoa, Chordata, Aves, Suliformes, Phalacrocoracidae. The record is from RefSeq and is a predicted model, not a curated record.
CAGGAGGAAAGGCAGUUGUCCACACUCAGCUGGGAAACCAAACCAGGACUAAUUGUGUCUGAAAGCAAUGCCUGCACCAGUGCUCUGAGCAAACAGGAUGAAUGUCUUCCAUGCCCAUGUCUCCUGCCUGCUCUUUCUCCCCUAGGAAAUUCAGAGCCAGGGGCUCUCCCCAGCUUCCCCUCUUUCCAAGUCUCUGAUUCUUCAGAGAGUGGAGGUGUGAGCUGUUCCACUGCAGCAGAGCAGGGUAAGCAGGGAUGGUUUUGUAUGCAAGGAGUUUUGCAUGCAGAGGAUCAGAUUGCACGAAGCCCAGCUGCAAAAUAACCUUGAGAAAAUCUGCAUGAAGCUCUGAGUAGGAAUGGGGGAGCAUGCUGGUUUAGAGAAGAAAUUGGAGGUUGGAUCUACAGGGCAGAGAGGAUGUCACUGCUGGAGGAAGAACUGGAGCAUAUCUCGGGGCCUUCUGAGCUUGGUGUUCUUGGGAGGAGGCCAGCUCUCCUAAAAAUGCCUUGCUGGAUGACUGGAGAGCAGCGAGGGAAAGGUUACAGAAAUGCUGUGUCCGUGCAUGUGAAUAUGUUUAUGUUUCACUGGAAAACUUCAAGCUGAACUGGUUGGUGAGUAGAAGACCAGAAUGUGAAAGCCCAAGGCUGGACACAGGGAGAUGCUGGCUGUCCUGCAGCGGGAAGGGCCAUCGACGGAGGGGAUAUUCCGCAGAGCUGCCAGCGGGCCGGAGCUUUGGAAGCUGCGGGAGGCCCUGGAACGCAGCGCACACGUCGACUUGGGAAGUCAGCCUGCGCUGCUGCUGGCCGUCCUCUUGAAGGUGAGUGCUUCUGACCUGCACUUGGAAGAGCUCCUGCCUGGUCUGAAGUGUUCAGAGGCUCAGCUGGAGGCCUUGGCGUUGCAGGACUUCCUCCGAAGCAUCCCUGCCAAGCUCCUCGUGGCAGAGCUCUACGAGGACUGGAUGGCAGCGAUGCAGGAGGCCAGCAAGGAGGAGAAGAUUGAAGAGCU